This 97-nucleotide microRNA precursor is filed under the name Nomascus leucogenys (northern white-cheeked gibbon). Its description in RNAcentral is "mir-544 microRNA precursor family". It matches the Rfam family "mir-544 microRNA precursor family". Lineage: Eukaryota; Metazoa; Chordata; Mammalia; Primates; Hylobatidae. The record is from Rfam by way of RNAcentral.
AUCACCAGGGAUCUUGUUAAAAUGCAGAUACUGGUUCAGAAUAUCAGAGGUUGGGACUGAGAUUCUGCAUUUCUAACAAGCUCCCAGAUAAUGCUGG